CCUACGUGAGGCAGCAGUGAGGAAUAUUGGUCAAUGGACUAGAGUCUGAACCAGCCAAGUAGCGUUAAGGAUGACUGCCCUAUGGGUUGUAAACUUCUUUUAUAAAGGAAUAAAACGAGGCACGUGUGCCUUUUUGCAUGUACUUUAUGAAUAAGGAUCGGCUAAAUCCGUGCCAGCAGCCGCGGUAAUACGGAGGAUCCGAGCGUUAUCCGGAUUUAUUGGGUUUAAAGGGAGAGUAGAUGGGUUGUUAAGUCAGUUGUGAAAGUUUGCGGCUCAACCGUAAAAUUGCAAUUGAUACUGGCAGUCUUGAGCACAGUUGAGGUAAGCGGAAUUCGUGGUGUAGCGGUGAAAUGCUUAGAUAUCACGAAGAACCACGAGUGCGAAGGCAGCUUACUAAACUGUGACUGACAUUGAUGCUCGAAAGUGUGGGUAUCAAACAGGAUUAGAUACCCGAGUAGUC
RNAcentral lists this ribosomal RNA (460 nucleotides) under uncultured bacterium. RNAcentral's name for it is "partial 16S ribosomal RNA". It matches the Rfam family "Bacterial small subunit ribosomal RNA", at positions 338 to 795 of the family's 1533-position model. The record is from RNAcentral.